Theobroma cacao (cacao) is the source of this 2228-nucleotide RNA transcript. It is a transcript of the gene named ARM repeat superfamily protein, with no coding region annotated. The record is from RefSeq and is a predicted model, not a curated record. NCBI's taxonomy places the organism in Eukaryota, Viridiplantae, Streptophyta, Magnoliopsida, Malvales, Malvaceae.
GAGGAGGACAGAAAUUGUGCACAAAGAGCAAAAAGAAAGAGGAAAAUAAGAAAUAAGCUUUGAGGUUUCUCAAAAGAAGCAAAGCAAAUGGCGCCAUCAGCAUCAGCUCCAACAAGAGAAGAAGAAGAGGAAGAACAACAGCAACUCGAAGAAGAACGUUUUGUCCCUUCGCAUCAUCCUUCCGCACCGCCCGAUGAGUUAUUUGAUAUUUCGACAACAGUUGAUCCGAGUUACGUAAUUUCAUUGAUAAGGAAACUUCUCCCACUUGAUGCAAGAAAUGGUGAUAAUACUGAAAUUCGGGGUUCAAAUUGUAAUGAUGAAGUUGUAAGUUCGUCAAAUGAUAAGUGUAAGGGCAUGGAGAUUGUUGAUGAUUUUAGUAAAUCUGAUUUUCAAGGAGAAGAUGAAGAAGAUUCGGGCCGCGGAGGGGAAAAUGCUCGUGUAUCAGCUGGGGAGGAGGUUUGGGAGGAGUGUGGUUGUGUUCUGUGGGAUCUUGCUGCAAAUCAAACUCAUGCUGAGCUCAUGGUGCAAAACUUAAUACUCGAAGUGCUUUUAGCAAAUCUUAUGGUUACCCAAUCUGUUCGUGUCACGGAGAUUUGUCUUGGAAUCAUGGGAAAUUUAGCCUGCCAUGAAGUUCCCAUGAAGCAUAUAGUUUCUACAAAUGGACUAAUUUCUGUGAUAGUAGAUCAAUUGUUUUUAGAUGACACCCAAUGUCUAGGUGAAGCUUUCCGGCUGUUAAGUUUGGGUCUUCAAGGUAGUGAAUGCAGAAUAUGGGCAGAGGCAUUGCAGUCUGAACAUAUUUUAAGCCGCAUUUUAUGGGUCACUGAGAAUACUUUAAAUCCACAGCUUAUUGAAAAGAGUGUUGGACUAUUAUUAGCCAUGUUAGAAAGUCAGAAGGAAGUUGAGCAUAUUCUUCUCUUGCCUUUGAUGAAACUUGGUUUAGCAACUGUAUUAGUUAAUCUUUUGGCUUUUGAGAUGAGCAAACUGACAAAUGAAAGAAUACCUGAAAGGUACUCUGUUCUUGAUGUUAUUCUUCGUGCGCUUGAAGCCCUCUGUGUUAUAGAUGGAUAUUCUCAGGAAAUCUGCUCAAAUAAAGAAUUUUUCCAACUAGUCUGUGACUUGAUAAAAUUCCCUGAUAAAGUUGAGGUGUCCAACUCCUGUGUGACUGCUGGAGUUAUAAUUGCAAAUAUUCUGUCUGUUGUAUCUGAUCUAGCUUCAGACUUAUCACAGGAUUUGCCUUUCUUGCAGGGACUGUUUGACAUUUUCCCAUUUACUUCAGAUGAAUUAGAAGCACGAUGUGCACUCUGGAGCAUUAUUGCAAGGUUACUAGUCCGAGUCCAGGAAGAUGAGAUGAGUGCCUCUAGUCUGCGUCAAUAUGUGUUCAUUCUAUCGAGCAAAGCUGAUCUGAUAGAAGAUGAUCUUUUUGAUCACCAAUUUGAUGAGAACAAGGAAAAUGAGAGCUUGGCCACCUGUGGUAGAAUAUCAAAUGCCAGAACUUUUGCUCUUAGAAGGAUAAUCAGCAUAUUAAACAAGUGGAAUUCUUUAAAGGAUUCUGUUGAGGAGAAGCAUGUGAUGGAGGAACAUGCAAAUGCUGAAAAUAUUCAUAGAUUAUUGGAUUGCUGUCACAAAUACACUGUGUUCAAGUAAAAGUUUGGCUAUAAUCCCACUUAUCAGCAUAGAUGAUUUCUUAAUCGGGUAGUUAGGCCUGAUCUGGUGCUGAAUAAUCAUUCUUGGGGCAAUGUUGCAUGAACAAUCUCACCUCAUCCUUGUUCCUUCAUAAUGAAUAUAUGCUAUCUAGACUGUCUAGUUCGAAUUUGAGGUUCUGAAUGACAGUGGAGAAACUUCAGUUUGGGAACAUUGCUUCACCGGAGAAUAUGAUAUCCUUGUAUUCCUGGAGAAAGAAGGAAUAUGGCCACGAGUGCAAACGCUGCUGGGAACAAUCAUUCCCUUCUAUGCUAAUUCUAUAGACCGAGUCCUUGCAACCGUCUGCUUCCUCCAGAAAUAUGUCAUCUUGGAAUCAACAACUUCAUGGUCCCUGAGAGUUGGAAGGCAUCUUGUGGGUAAUAUUUCGCUGCCAACCGUUUAUGCCAUUUAAGGGAAGGAUUGUGUUUUCACAUUAAAAGAUUCGAUGAUCUAUACCAAACUAGUUUACUUUACUAUUAAAGGGGACGCAAAUUAAAAAACAAACCUAAAUCAGCUAAAUCCACUUGCUUCUUGCACGUUAUCCUCUA